Molecule: ribosomal RNA, 455 nt
Filed under: Lithodes aequispinus
Lineage: Eukaryota; Metazoa; Arthropoda; Malacostraca; Decapoda; Lithodidae
Description: partial 16S rRNA
Source: RNAcentral
UCCGGUCUGAACUCAGAUCACGUAAAGUAUUAAAAGUCGAACAGACUCUCUCUUAUAGCGGCUACACCAUAGAGAUACUUUAAUUCAACAUCGAGGUCGCAAACUUUUUCUUCGAUAAGAACUCUCAAAAAAAAUAACGCUGUUAUCCCUAAAGUAUCUUAAUCUUUUAAUCUAUUUAAGGAUCAAUUUGUAUUAAGCAAUGAUUAUUGUAUUUAAAUUAUAGACAGUUUAUUUAUAUAUCUACGCCGCCCCAGCGCAACAAACCUAUAUUUUUAUUUCUUAUACACUUAUAAGCUAAAAUAUAAAAUAUAUUUAUUGUAAAGAUUUAUAGGGUCUUAUCGUCUUUUUGAUUUAUUUAAGCCUUUUCACUUAAAAGUCAAAUUCAAUAAAUAUUUAAGAAACAGAUGAUACUUUGUCCAACCUUUCAUUCAAGCCUUUAUUUAAAAGACAAUUUA